UGAUUCAAUAUUUUAAUUCGCUAAGGGCACAGCUCAACUGCAGGAGGCCAGCUGGGCGGCAAGGCCACUCCACUGACAGCCACAGCCUGUGGCCCUCUGUGGGCACGGUCCAGGGGCACAGCCACCCCCAACAGAGACACACCCUCACACACACUCACUCCUGUACUCUUGGUCUUGGACACACCUCCAGGCCUCUGGAACUGGCCCAGGGUCCCGCUUGCCCUCACAGCCACCCGUCCUCCUAGCGCCCAGGGCGCCCACGGCCCCUCUUAGACUUCUUGGUCCCUGAGGGGGGUCGGAUGGGGAGGGGGGCAGAGCUCGAGGGUGGCGGUGGUGGUGGCAGGAGAGGAGGUAGAGGGGACUCCGUGGGCUCCAAUGGGCCAGGACUGGGCCGGAAUCCCUCAAAGGGUGAGAAUUUCAGGGGGCUGCAGGGAAAACCAAGGCUGAGUCAGCACCUACUGGCACUGGGGUCAGAGGGCCAACUUCCCCACCUGCCUGGGCACACAGACUAUGAGGUCAGGUGCCCAGCCAGGCAGCCUGUGCCACGAGGGGUCCCCAGUGGCAGAUGACAAAGCGGAGGCUAGCACUGAGAUCCAGCCAAGGCAGCCCUGGGGUGGACGGGCAGAGCCAAAGCUAGAACUGGCCUCCUGCUCCAGCUACACGCUCCCUUCUGCCCUGUGGUACCUGACCGGGGUCCGGGGGCUGCUGUUCAGGCGCCUGGGGGAGCGUAGCUUGGGCUGGAAGGAGAAGCCCUCCUUGCUGCUGUCCAGGACGGAGGGCGCCACGUACGUGAAGCCCUGGGAAGGAGGUGCAGGGCAGGGAUGGGCAACGCUCAGCGUCCCCCGCUCCUUAGCCACAAUCCUUCCCGUGUCCCCAUAACCCUCGGGCCACAAAGGACCUCACCAGGAAGGCCUGGUUGGCGCUCUCACUGAGGGCCGUAUCAUCUGGACUGUCCACUGGCGUCUGCCGUGUGAAGUGGAUGUCAAACUGGCUCACGUCCUCCUCCGACUGCUGUGAGCGACCCGAAUGGGGAGGAGGGGUCAGGGAGCGUCCAAGAUGGGCCCUCCACCUGCCCCCAGGCCGGUGGGACCUCCACUCACCAGACAGGGCCUGAAAGGGGGGUCUACGCGGCGAGCCAGGAGGUCAUCCCAAUUAAUGUGUCGGAAGAAGGGGUGUCUCUGUGGGUAGAGUGCCCCCAAACACCACCAUUUCACCCUCUUCGGCUCCCUCAGUAACUCCCUCUGCCCUGAGGCCCUGCCUGCCCCCUGUCCUUUGGGGGCUCAGCCCCGCCCUCUCCUGAUGGUCCCAGACCCACCUGCACAUCAGCAGCGUCUCCUGGGCCGCCACCCAUCCGUUGGCUGGGAUUCCGCUUCAGAAACUGCGGGGCGAGGGCAGAGGGUGAGGGUCUGGGGGAUAGACACUGACUGUGUGUUCCCCUGUGUUCCUGGGGGCUGGCUGGGGCGGGGAAGGGUGGAGGAGGGAGAAGGCCUCUGGAGUUGGGUCUCCACCUACGGGCCACCCUAGGACUUCCGAACUUGGUCCAAUGGGCCCUCUGCCAUGAAGCCUUCGUAAAGGCACCUUAGUCACCGGGAUCACUCCAGGGCACUCCAGCAGGGAUCCAGUCUCCAAACCCACCCUUCCCACUUUUAUCCCUAAUGAUUGCCUUCGUGAUGGGAGAGCAGCUAGCUCAUCGUGAACCUUUUCUUUGGCUGAUGAGAGCUUGGACUACAAAUAUGUACAGGGUCAGCAGCUGGUCUACAACAGAGCUAAGGCACAAGCUCGGUGUCUUGGAACCCAAAGCAGGUGCCGCUUCAUCCCAAAGGCAUACUGCACAAGUGGGGAUGUCGCACAGCCCAGAGGACCCCGUACGGGGCCUAGAAGACAUGGGGGCUGGACCAGGGGCAGGAGGGAGCCCAACCCCCCCCCUUUUUUUUUUUAAGUUUAUUCAUUUAUUCUGAGAGAGAGAAAGAGAAUCCCAAGCAGGCUCUGCACUGGGGCUCGAACUCAUGAACCGUAAGAUCAUGACCUGAGCUGAAAUCAAGAGUCCGGACGCUUAACUGACUGAGCGCCCCCAGGCGCCCCCGGAGCCCACCUUUUUGACGAGGUCCCGGGCAUCCGGGGUGAGGUAGGGGGGCAGUGUCAGCUUCCCUUUGAUGAUCUUGUCCAUGGUUUUCUUCCGGUUCUCCGCAGUGAAGGGUGGCUGGAGAAAGCAGACAGUGAGAGGAGACUUGCGGGCUUCACCCCAGGCCCUGCCCCUGGCCGGGAUGGGGACCCCCUCCCACCCCUCUCCCCCCUCCCCUCCUCCCAAGGAGGCUGGACUUGCCGAUCCAGUGAGCAUGUCGUACAUCAGGGCCCCCAGGCUCCACCAGUCCACCGCCCGGUUGUGGCCACUGCGCACCAGAAUCUCAGGGGCCCUGAGGGGACGGGUGAAACCAUCAGCCCGGCCAGGCCUUUCCCGGCAGUUCUCCCCACCCCUGGUCCCAGCCAGGUACCACCUACAUGUACUCAAUGGUGCCACAGAAGGUGUGGGUGACGGCACCCUCAUGGAUCGACUCCUUGCAGAGUCCAAAGUCUGUCAGUUUGAUGUGGCCUGGGGAAGAUGUUGGAGAGGGUGGUCAGGGCCCUGGCUCACUGCACGGUGCUCCUCGGCCCUCCCGGCAGAUUCUGACCCGCCUCGCAGCUGCGGGGGGCAGGGUGCACGCGCGCAUGCGCACCCUGGCUGCUGAGCAUGAUGUUCUCAGGUUUGAGGUCCCGGUAGAUGAUGCCUUGGGAGUGCAGAUGGCCCAGGGCCAGCGUGAUCUCUGCCAGGUAGAAACUGCAGAGACAGGACAGGGUGAAGGCAAGGGUAGGGGUGGGGCUUGCUCUGGGGAGAGGGGAUCCCUGGAGCCCCUCAGGAGAGGCAAGAAGUAAUACCUACCAGGCCGUGUCUUCCAGGAAGAUGCCCUCUCGCUCCAGAUGCGUGAAGAGCUCACCGCCUGCGACACAAACACGUCAGCAGCUGUGUGCUGGGAGCAAGUGCCUUCGCGCUCUGAAUCUUGGUUUCUUCUUGGGGAGAGUGGGACUCAUAAUUCCGGCCCUACCUGCCUCACAGAGCUGCCGUGGGGAUUCAAUUCAAUUCAGCAAACAUCUACCGACGCCUACUCGGUGUCUGGCCCUGUGCUGGGUGAAGCUGGGGACACAGAGAUGAAGAGACCCAGCCAUUGCCCUCAGGACGCUCAGUCUAAUGGGGAGACAGACAUGCACACAGGUGCUCUAACAUGCCAGACUGAGGCAACAGCUCCAAGAGCUUAACCCAAAAAAUCUCACAGAGGCGGCAAAAUUACUCCUAAUGUGAGGGGACACAGCCCACGGUAGCAAUGAGAAUUAAGGGGGCGCUGAGACAGACACAGAUACUGGAGCUCACAGGGCCCAUCUGGUGCAGAUGGGACAGGGGGAGGGGUCAGGCCCCACCACUUCGUGGCCAGCAGGGGGCACCAGGCCAAGGAGGCCAGGCUUAUCUGAGCAGUUACAAGGAGCCAUGACUGUGAGUGUUGGGGACAAUUCCAUGCCGACACGACGAGCACCCUGGGAGUUCGUGGAGGAGACAUUAGGAAGAGGGUGAGCUGAAGGCCUCAGGCCCGGUUUGGAAACAACUGUGACUCGUGCCCUCCCCUCAAGAGAGUGGAGAUGAUGGAGGACGCUGCCAAGAAUGAACCAGCUGGAUCUGGGACCUGAUGGGACACAGGGCACCCAGGAGAGAGGAGCAGGACAUGAAGGGGUGGUGGAUGUGGACAAAACAAGCCCCUGGGUUUCUGUACGAACUCCCACUGUUCCCGUCCACCCCCAAUACAGGUGAGGGACACAAGAGGUGCUGGACAGACGUUUGCUGAAUGAAUGGAUGGAUGGAUGGAUGGACGGACGGAUGGAUGAAGGGAUGGAUGGACAGACGGAUGGAUGAGUGUGGGGGCCCCCUAGCCAUUCUACACACCACAUCUCUCCGGGCUUCCCCCAGAGCUCCCAGUGCUUCCUGGCUGGUUCCCUGGCCCUGGUUCCCCCGCUGGGCCCGCGCUCAUACCACUGAGGCACUCGAGGAUGAGGUAGAGUUUGCCACCAGUCUGGAAGGCAUAGGCCAGUUCCACAAUGAAGGGGUGCUUCACUGACUCUAGAAUGUUCCGUUCAGCCCGCGUGUGUGCUGUGUCCUUGGCGUUGCGCACAAUUUUGGCC
Molecule: long non-coding RNA, 4203 nt
Filed under: Lynx pardinus (Iberian lynx)
Lineage: Eukaryota; Metazoa; Chordata; Mammalia; Carnivora; Felidae
Source: RNAcentral